AAGAAGUAAAUAAACUCAAAAAGGAAAUUGCUAAUUUAAAAUUAGAAGUUUAUAAUCUAAGAAAAGAUUUUGAUGACAAAAGGUCUGAUCUUCAGAUCAACGAUUCCACGUCUAGUGAUGAAAAUCACGAUGAACCAGAAUCGUCUGGUGCUAAAGAUGAACCAGAUCUAUUUGUACAAGGUCUUACACUUAAAAGAAUUAAGGAUAUUACCAUUCAGAAAUGGUAUGUCUCGAUUAACCUAGUUGUUGAUAAAGGUUUC
This 260-nucleotide long non-coding RNA is filed under the name Panax ginseng (ginseng). RNAcentral describes it as "long non-coding RNA (PGIN_LNC013940)". The record is from RNAcentral. Lineage: Eukaryota; Viridiplantae; Streptophyta; Magnoliopsida; Apiales; Araliaceae.